RNAcentral lists this non-coding RNA (91 nucleotides) under Leuconostoc gelidum. Its description in RNAcentral is "TPP sequence". It matches the Rfam family "TPP riboswitch aptamer (THI element)". Rfam says of the family: Vitamin B(1) in its active form thiamin pyrophosphate (TPP) is an essential coenzyme that is synthesised by coupling of pyrimidine and thiazole moieties in bacteria. The previously detected thiamin-regulatory element, thi box was extended, resulting in a new, highly conserved RNA secondary structure, the THI element, which is widely distributed in eubacteria and also occurs in some archaea. Lineage: Bacteria; Bacillati; Bacillota; Bacilli; Lactobacillales; Lactobacillaceae. The record is from RNAcentral.
UUUUUGCAUUAGGGGCGUCGAUAUUGGCUGAGAAGAACUCUUUGAACCUGAACCAAAUUAUGCUGGCGUAGGCGAGUGCGACACUAAUGAU